UUCCAUCGUGUUUCUCAGCAUUUAGAGUGUUGGAUCUGCCACGUCAAUUAAUGAGGCGUGAUCCAACUCUCCUGGUUUUUUCUGAUUUUAAUUCCUUUUCUUUUAUUAUUUUAAAUUGUUUUUUCUUUAAAAAUUCGUAGUAAUUUUAUUUUUUAUCCAAAAAAACCCAAAAUAAUUUCUAAAAUUCUCUUUUAUUUUUCUUCAGCUGAUUUUUAUUUUU
This 220-nucleotide long non-coding RNA is filed under the name Lathyrus oleraceus (garden pea). RNAcentral's name for it is "Pisum sativum (pea) long non-coding RNA (PSAT_LNC033710)". Lineage: Eukaryota; Viridiplantae; Streptophyta; Magnoliopsida; Fabales; Fabaceae. The record is from RNAcentral.